AUUUUCGUCAAUGGGGGAAACCCUGAACGAGCAAUGCCGCGUGAGUGAAGAAGGUCUUCGGAUCGUAAAGCUCUGUUGUAAGUGAAGAACGGCUCAUAGAGGAAAUGCUAUGGGAGUGACGGUAGCUUACCAGAAAGCCACGGCUAACUACGUGCCAGCAGCCGCGGUAAUACGUAGGUGGCAAGCGUUAUCCGGAAUCAUUGGGCGUAAAGGGUGCGUAGGUGGCGCACUAAGUCCGUAGUAAAAGGCAAUGGCUCAACCAUUGUAAGCUAUGGAAACUGGUAUGCUGGAGUGCAGAAGAGGGCGAUGGAAUUCCAUGUGUAGCGGUAAAAUGCGUAGAUAUAUGGAGGAACACCAGUGGCGAAGGCGGUCGCCUGGUCUGUAACUGACACUGAGGCACGAAAGCGUGGGGAGCA
RNAcentral lists this ribosomal RNA (416 nucleotides) under uncultured bacterium. RNAcentral describes it as "bacterial SSU rRNA". It matches the Rfam family "Bacterial small subunit ribosomal RNA", at positions 361 to 770 of the family's 1533-position model. The record is from RNAcentral.